GGGGAAUAUUGGGCAAUGGACGCAAGUCUGACCCAGCAACGCCGCGUGAAGGAAGAAGGCUUUCGGGUUGUAAACUUCUUUUAAGGGGGAAGAGUAGAAGACGGUACCCCUUGAAUAAGCCACGGCUAACUACGUGCCAGCAGCCGCGGUAAUACGUAGGUGGCAAGCGUUGUCCGGAUUUACUGGGUGUAAAGGGUGCUCAGGCGGGGGGUUAAGUCGGCGGUGAAAUUUUGCAGCUCAACUGUAAAAGUGCCUUCGAAACUGGUUCCCUUGAGUGCGGAUGAGGUAGGCGGAAUUUGUGGUGUAGCGGUGAAAUGCAUAGAUAUCACGAGGAACUCCGAUUGCGCAGGCAGCUUACCAAGCCGUAACUGACGCUCAAGCACGAAGGCGUGGGGAUCAAACA
This 403-nucleotide ribosomal RNA is filed under the name uncultured Porphyromonadaceae bacterium. Its description in RNAcentral is "bacterial SSU rRNA". It matches the Rfam family "Bacterial small subunit ribosomal RNA", at positions 356 to 774 of the family's 1533-position model. The record is from RNAcentral. Lineage: Bacteria; Pseudomonadati; Bacteroidota; Bacteroidia; Bacteroidales; Porphyromonadaceae.